RNAcentral lists this unclassified non-coding RNA (225 nucleotides) under rhizosphere metagenome. Its description in RNAcentral is "partial ribosomal RNA internal transcribed spacer region". The record is from RNAcentral.
GAGAUUUUUUCCUGCUUGCAGGAAAUCUCCCACCCUUUGUGUUACUUAAUUUUUAUACUUUGGUGAAGCGUUUUUCUCUUGCUUUUACAGGAAAGAAAGAACCAUCGGCUUUAAUUAGUGGGUGUGUCUUCACCAAAGGACCCCUUAACUCUUUAUUUUUUAUGAAUUGUCUGAGUUUAUAUUUUUAAAUAAACAAAAACUUUCAACAACGGAUCUCUUGGUUCU